AGAUAUCUUCCCCUCACUAGUCCCUAAGUUACCAGAUAUCUAUCUCCACACAACUGUACAGUUGUCAGAUGUCAAUCCAUCAGAUACUAGAUAUCUUCCCCUCACUAGUCCCCAAGUUACCAGAUAUUUAUCUUCACACAACUCCACAGUUGACAGAUAUCUAUCCAUGAGAUGCUAGAUAUCUUCCCCUCACUAGUCCCCAAGUUCCCAGAAUCUAUAUCUAUCUCCGCACAACUUCCCAGUUGACUGAUAUCAAUCCAUGAGAUACUAGAUAUCUUCCCCUCACUAGUCCCCAAGUUACCAGAUAUCUAUCUCCACACAACUCUACAGUUGUCAGAUAUCAAUCCAUGAGAUACUAGAUAUCUUCCCUCCACUAGUCCCCAAGUUACCAGAUAUGUAUCUCCACAUAACUCCCCAGUUGACAGAUAUCAAUCCAUGAGAUACUAGAUAUCUUCCCCGCUUUAGUCCCCAAGUUACUGGAUAUCUAUCUCCACACAACUCCCCAGAUGACAGAUAUCAAUCCACGAGACACUAGAUAUCUUCCCCUCACUAGUCCCCACUUUAGUUACUGGAUAUCUAUCUCCCCACAACUCCCCAGUUGACUGAUAUCAAUCCAUGAUAUACUAGAUAUCUUCCCCUCACUAGUCCCCAAGUUACCAGAUAUCUAUCCCCACAAAAAUCCACAGUAGACAGAUAUCAAUCCAUGAGACACUAAAUAUUUUUCCCCUCAGGCUAAGCGUUUUACUAGUCCCCAAGUUACCAGAUAUUUAUCCAUGACAUACCAGAUAUCUAUUCCCUUACUAGUCCCCAAAUUAAUCCAUGACAUACCAGAUAUCUUGUUCAGCCAACAAGGCAUUGAAAUAACAAACUAUAAGCCCAUUCUAUCUUAAAUUUGAAAGAGAAGUUUUGAAAGCCUCAUAGGCUCGUUACUGCAUUUCUCCCGGCUUUCUAACUCUUAAGGACAAAGG
Molecule: long non-coding RNA, 968 nt
Filed under: Mytilus galloprovincialis (Mediterranean mussel)
Lineage: Eukaryota; Metazoa; Mollusca; Bivalvia; Mytilida; Mytilidae
Source: RNAcentral